AACCGUGAAUACCUGUCAACGCAACGCGUCAUCCUUAACAACCAAUUUAGUCUGUUAAAUUGGUCAUUGGCUUAAUUUUAGAUUCUGAAAUGCAGAAGUAUAUGUGUAUAGCAGCUAGAAGUUAGUACUAACAAGAAACAGACCAAAGUGGUACACAUCUCUGCAAUCACUUUACAAAAUUUAAUCAAAGUUAUUUUGAAAAUAUUGGCAAACUCUGAUACAAGAAAGAUGUCAUUUCAAGAAAGAUCCAGUCAGAAGAAAUCCAAUGUUUUGAAACACCACAAACAAGGAAAUCAAAGCUGCAGUUAGUCGUUUGAACUGGUUUCCUGACAAAUUCAAG
Long non-coding RNA from Patella vulgata (common limpet), 340 nucleotides. RefSeq lists it as uncharacterized. The record is from RefSeq and is a predicted model, not a curated record. The transcript has 3 exons. NCBI's taxonomy places the organism in Eukaryota, Metazoa, Mollusca, Gastropoda, Patellidae.